CCCUUCUGACUGCUGGGCAGGCAGCUUUGGGGAAUAUUGCACACCGGGCGGAAGCCUGGUGCAACAACGCCGCUGGCGGGAUGACGGCCUUCGGGUUGUAAACCGCUUUCGCCUGUGACGAAGCGUGAGUGACGGUAAUGGGUAAAGAAGCACCGGCUAACUACGUGCCAGCAGCCGCGGUGAUACGUAGGGUGCGAGCGUUGUCCGGAUUUAUUGGGCGUAAAGGGCUCGUAGGUGGUUGAUCGCGUCGGAAGUGUAAUCUUGGGGCUUAACCCUGAGCGUGCUUUCGAUACGGGUUGACUUGAGGAAGGUAGGGGAGAAUGGAAUUCCUGGUGGAGCGGUGGAAUGCGCAGAUAUCAGGAGGAACACCAGUGGCGAAGGCGGUUCUCUGGGCCUUUCCUGACGCUGAGGAGCGAAAGCGUGGGGAGCGAACAGGCUUAGAUACCCUGGUAGUCCACGCUGUAAACGGUGGGUACUAGGUGUGGGGUCCAUUCCACGGGUUCCGUGCCGUAGCUAACGCUUUAAGUACCCCGCCUGGGGAGUACGGCCGCAAGGCUAAAACUCAAAGGAAUUGACGGGGGCCCGCACAAG
RNAcentral lists this ribosomal RNA (591 nucleotides) under uncultured bacterium. RNAcentral describes it as "bacterial SSU rRNA". It matches the Rfam family "Bacterial small subunit ribosomal RNA", at positions 327 to 929 of the family's 1533-position model. The record is from RNAcentral.